UAGCGACAAGAAAGGAGCAGAAAAUCUUCCAUUAUUUUUGCGCCUAAACGCAAAUAUCUCCUUUUUAUGCUUUGGAAAAUGAAAAUUUUAACAAUCCGAAGUUUUUCCUCAAAGAAAUGCCGAGAAAUACGAGAAAAAUUGUCGUUAACGCGGUAAAUAUUCUGAGCUUUGGAGACGCAUUUGGAUUCAACCGCCACGAUGCGUUCUUCGUUUCGAUUUACACUCGUCUGCUUCGUUUGAGAAAGAAAUGAUGUUUGAGAGACAUUGAUGGCAACAUGAGAGUUUGGAAAAGUGUCGCCAGAGAUGAUUGAGUACUGGUUGGAGAAGAUGUAGAUGCCUAAGUGUUUCUCUGAAAAGUAAGGAGCAGAUACAUGAUAAAAUAUUUUGAUAUUAGUUUUGGAACGAUUUUUUGUGAUAACAAAGUAGCAAUUAUGCAGUAUGGUUUUUGGUGGGCCAAAUUGGCAAAUAAACAAACAAACAAAAAUGUG
Molecule: long non-coding RNA, 488 nt
Organism: Stylophora pistillata
Lineage: Eukaryota; Metazoa; Cnidaria; Anthozoa; Scleractinia; Pocilloporidae
Source: RefSeq, a predicted model, not a curated record